CACGUAGUUAGCCGGGGCUUCUUAGUCAGGUACCGUCAUUUUCUUCCCUGCUGAUAGAGCUUUACAUACCGAAAUACUUCAUCGCUCACGCGGCGUCGCUGCACCAGGGUUUCCCCCAUUGUGCAAUAUUCCCCACUGCUGCCUCCCGUAGGAGUCUGGGCCGUGUCUCAGUCCCAAUGUGGCCGUCCACCCUCUCAGGCCGGCUACUGAUCGUCGGCUUGGUGGGCCGUUACCCCACCAACUACCUAAUCAGACGCGGGUCCAUCUUACACCACCUCAGUUUUUACCACCAUACCAUGCGGUACCGUGGUCUUAUGCGGUAUUAGCAGUCAUUUCUAACUGUUAUCCCCCUGUGUAAGGCAGGUUACCCACGCGUUACUCCACCCGUCCGCCGCUCAGUCAACAAAAACUCUUACAUCCGAAGAAUCCUAAUUUAAGCGCUUCGCUCGACUGCAUGUGUUAGGCACGCCGCCA
Molecule: ribosomal RNA, 474 nt
Filed under: uncultured Lachnospiraceae bacterium
Lineage: Bacteria; Bacillati; Bacillota; Clostridia; Lachnospirales; Lachnospiraceae
Description: partial 16S ribosomal RNA
Source: RNAcentral